This 1368-nucleotide long non-coding RNA is filed under the name Salvia miltiorrhiza (redroot sage). Its description in RNAcentral is "long non-coding RNA (SMIL_LNC006074)". The record is from RNAcentral. Lineage: Eukaryota; Viridiplantae; Streptophyta; Magnoliopsida; Lamiales; Lamiaceae.
AGAAAUCUCACAUGUCGCAGCCCGACGUUUAGCCAGUGAUAGCGUAGACCGAGUAUCGAUACGACUAAAUAAAAGAAUAAAGUGAAGGCACAGAAAUCAAAUUGAAUAUCAAGCGGAAGAUCACAACAAUACAUGCCAAGGGAAAUAACAAUAACAUCCUCUCAAAGACAUAAUUAUUAUCGGCUUCAUAAGUUCAAAAGUAUUAGGAUUUUCGACAAAGUUUACAAAAUGGACAUAGUUAAAUAUUCACAAAGGUUCAUAAUUUACAGAGUCUCACAGCAAAACGUGAACAUGCUAUAUGUAUGAAGACAUAUAGCCGAGAGUAUACUUCUUGAUUAAGUCCAAAAUAUAAACUCCAACAUCAAAAUACCACUGUAUGAAAUAGAAGUACGGUAAAAGGAUAACAUUGUCCGAAACAAGUCCCCACCAGCACUAGUCCAAUCUCCCCCCUCGCUUAUCCUGCACGUUUAGAAAUACAUGCAGAAUACGCAGUAGGCAUAAGCCAAAAAAUAAUGAAAGCUUGCUCUUAGAGCUAUAAAUUGAAGUUGCCACAAUUUAAGCAACACACAGGGAUUUUAGUAUAAACGAACCUGUGCAUGCAAUUUAACAAAUCAUAAACAUCACAAAAAAAUUAACUGCGCAGUUUAAACAUUCAUAAAGCAUGUACCACGUCCACUAUUCAUCAUCAAAGGUACUGAGAAGUAGGCCUCCCUCUCAAGUACCGUGACCGGCCGACCCGAUAAACGGCUCACAGUCACCUCUGUGCACAAAAUCCCGCUUGUGGCAGGACCGAGUUCGUCUCAUCAGUAUAGGGGAACAUACAAGCUCAUCAUUAUCAAAAAUUGGCAAGUCAAUUAAUUUAAACAUAACUUCAAUUCAAUCAUUCAUCAUUGAAAAUUUUCAUCAAACGAAAAUUUAACAGUUAAAUUAUAUCAUUCAUUUCAUCUCGUAUAAGAGGCCUAUGACACACGGGGGAUUUCUAUAUACGUAGUAAAAAUAAUGCCCACCUGAUGGUCUUAGCUUACUCUUGUAGCACUCGGGUGGACUCACUUCCGUUCUUUGCUCGUAUCUUCAGAUAGCAUAACAUCGGAGAUAGUUCAUGAUAAGAAUAAAAGGAAUCGGUCAGAAACUUCCUUACCAAGGAUACCAUUCCUAUCUUAGUACUAUUCUUUCUCUCCUCAUUAAUACACUCCGACUAUCUCAAUCUAAUAUGCAUAACCGCUACUUAAUUAAUCGCCAAUCCUACUCUCAACUUAACACUCACAUAGAACUAAACAACAUCAACAAACAAACACACAAAUAUACAUACACAGAAAGUCAUAUAAUCUCACAUUAGUACAUAGAAGAAUUAAUAAAGUUCAUUCACAU